AGCGAACGCUGGCGGCAGGCCUAACACAUGCAAGUCGAACGAACCUUUCGGGGUUAGUGGCGGACGGGUGAGUAACACGUGGGAACGUGCCUUUAGGUUCGGAAUAACUCAGGGAAACUUGUACUAAUACCGAAUGUGCCCUUCGGGGGAAAGAUUUAUCGCCUUUAGAGCGGCCCGCGUCUGAUUAGCUAGUUGGUUGAGGUAAUGGCUCACCAAGGCGACGAUCAGUAGCUGGUCUGAGAGGAUGAUCAGCCACAUUGGGACUGAGACACGGCCCAAACUCCUACGGGAGGCAGCAGUGGGGAAUCUUGCGCAAUGGGCGAAAGCCUGACGCAGCCAUGCCGCGUGAAUGAUGAAGGUCUUAGGAUUGUAAAAUUCUUUCAACGGGGACGAUAAUGACGGUACCCGGAGAAGAAGCCCCGGCUAACUUCGUG
Molecule: ribosomal RNA, 434 nt
Filed under: uncultured bacterium
Lineage: Bacteria
Description: partial 16S ribosomal RNA
Rfam family: Bacterial small subunit ribosomal RNA
Source: RNAcentral